GACAAACGCUGGCGGCGUGCCUAACACAUGCAAGUCGAACGGGGUAAAGAGCUUCGGUUUUUACUUAGUGGCGAACGGGUGAGUAACGCGUAAGCAAUCUGCCUAUCAGAGGGGAAUAACAGUGAGAAAUCACUGCUAAUACCGCAUAAGCUGUGAGUAUCACAUGAUACAAAUAGAAAAGGAGCAAUCCGCUGAUAGAUGAGCUUGCGCCUGAUUAGUUAGUUGGUGAGGUAACGGCUCACCAAGGCGACGAUCAGUAGCCGGUCUGAGAGGAUGAACGGCCACAUUGGGACUGAGAUACGGCCCAG
This 308-nucleotide ribosomal RNA is filed under the name uncultured bacterium. Its description in RNAcentral is "bacterial SSU rRNA". It matches the Rfam family "Bacterial small subunit ribosomal RNA", at positions 28 to 334 of the family's 1533-position model. The record is from RNAcentral.